AACGAACGCUGGCGGCAGGCUUAACACAUGCAAGUCGAACGGGUGUAGCAAUACAUCAGUGGCAGACGGGUGAGUAACACGUGGGAACCUUCCUAGAGGUACGGAACAACGCAGGGAAACUUGCGCUAAUACCGUAUACGCUCUUGCGAGGAAAGAUUUAUCGCCUUUAGACGGGCCCGCGUCGGAUUAGCUAGUUGGUAAGGUAACGGCUUACCAAGGCGACGAUCCGUAGCUGAUCUGAGAGGAUGAUCAGCCACACUGGGACUGAGACAGGCCCAGACUCCUACGGGAGGCAGCA
Molecule: ribosomal RNA, 298 nt
Filed under: uncultured bacterium
Lineage: Bacteria
Description: partial 16S ribosomal RNA
Rfam family: Bacterial small subunit ribosomal RNA
Source: RNAcentral